This 463-nucleotide ribosomal RNA is filed under the name uncultured bacterium. RNAcentral describes it as "bacterial SSU rRNA". It matches the Rfam family "Bacterial small subunit ribosomal RNA", at positions 441 to 897 of the family's 1533-position model. The record is from RNAcentral.
AGGGAAGAAACGGAGUUCUCUAAUAUAGGAUUCUAAUGACGGUACCUGAAGAAUAAGCACCGGCUAACUACGUGCCAGCAGCCGCGGUAAUACGUAGGGUCCAAGCGUUAAUCGGAAUUACUGGGCGUAAAGCGUGCGCAGGCGGUUGUGCAAGACCGAUGUGAAAUCCCCGAGCUUAACUUGGGAAUUGCAUUGGUGACUGCACGGCUAGAGUGUGUCAGAGGGGGGUAGAAUUCCACGUGUAGCAGUGAAAUGCGUAGAGAUGUGGAGGAAUACCGAUGGCGAAGGCAGCCCCCUGGGAUAACACUGACGCUCAUGCACGAAAGCGUGGGGAGCAAACAGGAUUAGAUACCCUGGUAGUCCACGCCCUAAACGAUGUCAACUAGUUGUUGGGGAUUCAUUUCCUUAGUAACGUAGCUAACGCGUGAAGUUGACCGCCUGGGGAGUACGGUCGCAAGAUUAA